UUUUUUUUUUUUUUUUUAUUCUUCCUGACAACUGCAGGAGUUGGAAAGAUUUGUUUAUUUAUUUAAAAUAUGGGGUUGCCUAUAAUGAUGAGCAAUAGUUGCAGCUAAGUUUGUUUUUUUUAAGUUCAUUUCUAAGUUAAACAGAAAUGAGAAUUUUUUCAACUUUUAUUUAUUAUGAGCUGCAACUAAUAUGAAUGUGGGCCAUGAUGACUGGCAUGUCAGUGUCAGUUUUGGUCAAUUUGUGGGGGAUCACCUAUGGAUCCGUAUGAUUUAUGUAAAGGCAACAAGUAUGUUAUUUUUUACUCUUACUAACAACUGCAGAAGUUGGGAGGAUCUUUUCAUUUAUUUAUAAAAUUGGUUGCCCAUAAUUGUCAUGACAUAGUUGCAGCUAAUUUUGUUUAUUUUAGCUCAUUUCUAAGUUAAACUGAAAUGAGAAUAUACUUUUUCAACUUUUAUUUAUUACGAGCUGCAGCUAAUAUUAAUUAUACCUGACCUGUUCAUGCUAAUUCUUAAAAUGAUACUGAUAUCUAAACAACUUUCAUUGUACCAAGAGUUAACCCCACCUUUCACAUGAUGAAGAUGUAAGCAUGUUGUCUCAUUAUUCUGUGCAUAUAAAUGGGUGGGGUACAACUAGUAUCAUAUUACAUUCUCAUGUGUGAAAAUUACAACAUGCUUGGACUCAUUGUAGAAUAAGAUACCACCAAAGAUUAAGGAAAGGAAACCUGUUGCAGAUCCACAACCACCAGGAAGGACAAGUUACACACUCAAAAUGCUCAAGCUCCUCCUGUGGAUUUUACUGCACAUAUCUGUGUUGGAUGACAAAUUAUCAUUGUCUCCAGUAAGCUGCUCUGACACCAGUGGUGACUUAGAUAACUAAUUUUGUCAACACACUUCAACAUUUGUUUUAUGGACCAGAAUUACCACAAAAAUGACUCUCUGAUGUUCAGAAUUUGGAAAACCUGUGUCAGAGAUUAAAAUGUCAAACUGUCUUGCCAACAACUUGUUUGAAUAUGGAGUUUUUGGGAUGUCAGUACCUGUGGACAAACUUCUCAAUAUGAUACAAUUGCUGGCAAAGACAGCACAUAGAAAGAAAGACAGUUAAAUGAACUGCAGUCUUUGUUAGGUUUGUUUAAUUUUGCUUGUAAAGUGGUAGCACUCAUGAAUUUUGAUACUCUUAAUAGAUUAAAAUUGUCAUGUUCCUAAAUAAACUCAGUACUUAAAAUUAGUGUGCUGACAUUUAAACAUGGCAUCUCCUUAUUGAUCAUUUUGAUGGCAAAUCUAUUUUUUUAUUGGGAUGAAUGGAUUUCUUCACAGAAAUUUUGUAUGUAUACCUAUGCAUCUGGUAGUUGGGCUUUGCAUCUGUAUAUGGGUCAUUAUGGUCUGUGCAAUCUUGGCUAGGCAUUCAAACAGUUAAUCACAUUUUUAUAAAGAGCUUUUCCAUAUUGUCUUCUGGAUGGAAAUUUAGCUUCCUUAUUUGAGUAAUCAAAAAUUUUGGCUGAUAUUAUAGCUGUUGUUGGAGUUGUCAAUAAAAAAUUGUCAAGCAGGGACAAAACAUGAAUUAGUUGUUGCUGCAUUUGAUUUCAAUCAUAUCUAAAGGAAAGUUAUCAAAGGUCCCCAAACAGUUAGAGACAACUGCUGACACUAAAUUUUCAAUCACAACAUUAUUCUUAUCAUAUUUUUAUCUGCUUUAUAUCAAAAAGCAGAUAGGAAUCUUUUUGUUGGCACUCUACCUCCUUGCCUUUCAUGCUUUCAUGCACUUAGGUGAACAAUGCAAAUUGAGCACAGAUCGCACUCAGGUAAUCCAAAAUCAAAUGAUAGGCACUCGAUAACAAUUACCUUGACAGACAAUAACCUGAAUUGUCAGUUUGUCCAUUCAAGUUUCGAAACUGUAUAUUGCUCAAUAUCAACACACAUCUGGCCCUUUAUUCACCUUCAAAUCUGGUGAACCAGUUCCUCACACUUUUAUGGCAUAUCCCUUGUAACAUGUUAUAAAUUUUAAAGGCUUUGAUUCCUCCUUUAAUUCAGAUAUUGUUUUGCAUUUGUGCUGCCACAGAGGUGGCACAGAACGAAUUGUCUGAAAAUGUCAUUCACCAACUUGAUUGUUGGCACUAUAAUGCAAGUAGGCAUUACAUUAGGAUAAAUACUUUCAAAUUCAAAUUUGCCAAACUUGGUCUUAAGGAUUGCAAAGUUAAACAUGUACUGCCACCGAACAUCAUAAAUAGAGAAGUCAGCAUCUGGCAGUUCUCUAUGUUGGUAAGUAAGAUUAGGCAAUGUAUUAGCUUCUGAUGUAACAUUAUUCAUUGCUCUAUCAUUAAUUUUGUAAAUUUGAUCAUGAGACCAGCAUAAAUUUGAUCAUGAGACCAGCAUAUGGCUGCUCAAAUAGUUGUACAUCCUCUAUAGUCAUCAACUCUGUAUAAUUCAGUUUAAAUUGAUAGGAGGUCAGCACAUGGCUGCUUAUAUAAUCUGUAUUUUAGAAAGUGAGCUCAGCAUUGAUGUACUUACAAUGUUUUACAUAGACUGCUUAUUAAUGUCAAUGAGUCCAGCAUAUGGCGGCUCAUAUAAACUGUAAUCUAGUCUGUGAGGUCAGCAUAGCUUUGCUCAAAAUGUGUUACUUAAAGUAUGUACCAUGUUCGUGAGGUCAGCAUGUAGCUGCUCAUGUAAAUUGUAUGUUAAUCAUGAGCUCCACAUAUUGUGAUCUUAAAUUUUAUCUGCAAAGACUGUGAGCUAAGGCACAAGAGUUUAGCAUAUGGCUGCCCAUAUAAUCUGUAUUUUGUCAGUUAGGUCUGCAUAGUUUUGCUUCUAAAUGUGUUUAACUAUGUACCAAUGUUCAUGAGGUCAGCAUAUGGUUGCUCAUGUAAACUGUACAUUAAAAUUGUCUGCAUAGACUGUGAGCUAGGAUACAUGAGGUCAGCAUAUGGCUGCUCAUGUAAAUUGUUUGUUAAAAUCUGCCUGCAUUGACUUGACCUAAGAUACAUGAGGUCAGCAUAUGGCUGCUCAUGUAAAUUGUAUUUAAAAAUGUGCCUGCAUUGACUGUGAUCUAUAAUACAUGAGGUCAGCAUAUGGCUGUUCAUGUAAACUGUAUGUUAAAAUCUUCCUGCAUAGACAGUGAGUUAAGCUACACGAGGUCAGCAUAUGGCUGCUCAUGUAAAAUGUUUGUUAAAAUCUGCCUGCAUUGACUUGAGUUAAGAUACAUAAGGUCAGCAUAUGGCUGCUCAUGUAAAUUGUAUUAUAAAAUCUGCCUGCAUGGUACUCGAGGUCAGCAUAUGGCUGCUCAUAUAAUCUGUAUUCUAGUCAUGAGCUCAACAUAAAUUUGUUUAUAAAUAAUGUGCAUGAGGUCAGCAUAUAACUGCUCAUAUAAACUGUAUUUAGUCCAUGCAUGUAUAUUUUUAGUCAUUGAGGUAUACAUGUUUGGUUCAGGUUUAUGCACCAUUUUGUAUACAUUAUAUUAAUAAACAUUGUUUUUAUACAUUCUAAAAUUUUAUACAGUUAAUUGUAAAAUUGAUUAUUUUAGUGUUACCAUAGUCAAUUAAAUACUUUUCACAAAAACUCCUUUUUGGCAACUUUCAGUUCAAUGUAAUUCAAAUGAAAAUGCCUUUUCCUUGGGUGGCGCUGCAUGCGUCAUGCAAGCAUUUAGCAUGCUUUGUGGCCUCUUUUUGUACGCCACCUUCUUGUUGCACAAACUUUGUAAUCAUUAUACAUAUAUAACAAUAGCUGGGAUAAGCACUAAGUUGCAAUGUAACAUAUCUAAAUUGAAAUUAUUCAUCAUUUGACCUUAUCCCAGCUUUUAAUGUACAUUAUUGUAAUUGUAUAUUAUACAUGCUUUUGUUUCACUUCUCGUCAUUUAUCUUGGCAAUAAAUGACAUAUUCACUCAGCUUAAGUUUUUCUGUUUUCCUUAAGUGGUUUAAGCAACAAGAACAAGCUUCAGAAAAGGCAUUGAACUUUACUAAAGUGUGUAAUUUGUUUAAUGAAAAAGUUGUGAAUAUAAAUAAAAUUUUAUGUUUCAUAAAAUGUUUUAUAUGCAAGCUUUUUACAUUGUUAAUGUCAAGUCAAUUAAAUUUUGUAGUUAUUAUUAGUAUGUUGUAUUAAGGUCGGGUUCAACUUAAAUCGGGAUCGAGUUCCCAAUAUUUAAAUCCGGUGGAAACACGAGGUUAUGGUAAUUUUAACCACCACCUCCCUUCCUCCUCCCAUGUAUAAUUAUGUUAGUGGGAAAUGUUUGUAAUUGAGAAACUUAUGUUUUAAGUAUCCUUAUUAUAUAGGUUUAAUGCACUUAUUCUUCAUGUAAACUGUGUUUUCUCUCUGCGAUUUACAAUAUAUUUGAACUUGUUUUUAAAUUAUUCCUGUUAGUAACAUACACGUGGCGCCUCUUUUUGUACGCCACCUUCUUGUUGCACAAACUUUGUAAUCAUUAUACAUAUAUAACAAUAGCUGGGAUAAGCACUAAGUUGCAAUGUAACAUAUCUAAAUUGAAAUUAUUCAUCAUUUGACCUUAUCCCAGCUUUUAAUGUACAUUAUUGUAAUUGUAUAUUAUACAUGCUUUUGUUUCACUUCUCGUCAUUUAUCUUGGCAAUAAAUGACAUAUUCACUCAG
This is a long non-coding RNA of Saccostrea echinata, 4588 nucleotides long. RefSeq lists it as uncharacterized. The transcript is spliced from 2 exons. The record is from RefSeq and is a predicted model, not a curated record. Lineage: Eukaryota; Metazoa; Mollusca; Bivalvia; Ostreida; Ostreidae.